This 253-nucleotide ribosomal RNA is filed under the name uncultured bacterium. RNAcentral describes it as "partial 16S ribosomal RNA". It matches the Rfam family "Bacterial small subunit ribosomal RNA", at positions 524 to 776 of the family's 1533-position model. The record is from RNAcentral.
GACAGAGGGUGCAAACGUUGUUCGGAAUUACUGGGCGUAAAGCGCGUGUAGGCGGCCAUGCAAGUCGGAUGUGAAAGCCCUCGGCUCAACCGGGGAAGUGCACUCGAAACUGCAAGGCUAGAGUCUCGGAGAGGAUCGUAGAAUUCUCGGUGUAGAGGUGAAAUUCGUAGAUAUCGAGAGGAACACCGGUGGCGAAGGCGGCGAUCUGGACGAUGACUGACGCUGAGACGCGAAAGCGUGGGGAGCAAACAGG